RNAcentral lists this ribosomal RNA (253 nucleotides) under uncultured bacterium. Its description in RNAcentral is "partial 16S ribosomal RNA". It matches the Rfam family "Bacterial small subunit ribosomal RNA", at positions 524 to 776 of the family's 1533-position model. The record is from RNAcentral.
UACGGAGGGGGCUAGCGUUGUUCGGAAUUACUGGGCGUAAAGCGCACGUAGGCGGCUUUGUAAGUUAGAGGUGAAAGCCUGGGGCUCAACUCCAGAAUUGCCUUUAAGACUGCAUCGCUAGAAUUGUGGAGAGGUAAGUGGAAUUCCGAGUGUAGAGGUGAAAUUCGUAGAUAUUCGGAAGAACACCAGUGGCGAAGGCGACUUACUGGACACAUAUUGACGCUGAGGUGCGAAAGCGUGGGGAGCAAACAGG